ACACAAAAAUUAAGAUAUGUGUCCAGAGCCCCACAAUAGGGGAUGUUCGGUAAGCUACUAUUGAAGAGUUAGACAACAUCAAAACAUGGUUUUCAGAUAUACUCCCCUUCUCUCUUCUCUUUCUUUUUCUCCACCCAUUUUUCUUUAUUCUUACAUUCUCUCUUAUUCCACUGCAUUUCUGAUUGCUCAUUUCCACUUUAGCCACUUGAAAGGAAAAGGGAGAAAACGUCAAAGAAGGUUCUUUGUUUUUCUGUGAGUGCUUCACUUUCUUUGAUGCUUCCUUUGGGGUUUUAUUGACUUUUUAAAAAAUUGUUUUGAUGUAACUUCAAACUUGUAGAAGAGUUGCAAUAUCUGUGCAAAGAAGGAGAAAAUAUACCUCAUUCAGAUGACACAUUUAUUUCCAUUUUCUCUCAUGUGCUUUAUCUUUCUUUAGAACUCUUUGUCUUCUCUCCACCUAUUGUUCGCCAAACAUCAAAUUGAUGCUGUCAGCUGUCCUGGCUUUACAGACUGCUGUACCAACAACUUGUUUCUCCAAUUCCUCUCCUCUAUAUUCUCAUAUAUGAUCAAAGUUUUAGUUUCCUUUUCUAAUUACAAUUUUCUUCCUGUCUGUUCACAGCAGAGUCCUUUCAGCCACAAGUCUUAAUAGUUUGUGUGAGUGUUAAUCUGCUUCUCAUAGAGUCACCAUGAAACACACCUUAGACAGAAUAAUACAAAGCUUUAACGAAGACCGCAGAAGAACUUCAUAUCUGAGUACCAUUUGCAAUCGAUUUACAAAUAAUGCCAGCAUCCUUAGCGACUUCUUCAGGCAAGGUUAUACUGGGGGUUUUUGAGGCUAAGCAGGUGAACUGGGAGUACCGCACACAGCAUGGCUUCCAGCCUGAAGUGACUGUAAAAUGCCAGUGAAUAGAGAGGCUCAAGGCUGAGUAAAGGAUCCUGCACACUCAACAGGCUCAUCCUUCUCUGCACCCGAGUUGUUCAUAGAGUCCCAGUUACAGAGCUUUCAGAAGGCGGAAUUCGUCCACAGCACACUAUUGAUGCCUAUCGAAUCUAAGGAAAUUAACUAAGAAGGGAAGAAAUAAUCUUCAUAGAAAAGGGAUUUGAGAACCCAGAAGAGGGUAUGGGCCUGGCAGUGUGCAUGCUGCAAACUAUGCACCAUCACUGGCCUAAAACGCACCUCUGUGUGCAUCAUUUACUCACGUUUAAAAAUCACCCUCUACUUGUUCUCCUGUGACCCUCAUUGGACUAUAUCCAGACAGCACUGAAAGUGAUAGCCAGAAAAAGUAGAAACAACCCAUGUGUUCAUCCACUGACGAAUGGAUCAAAACAUGUGGCGUGUCCAUCCAUACAAGGGGAUAUUACCCAGCAGUCAAAAGGAGCAAAGAACUGAUGUAUACCACACCAUGGCUGAUUCUCAACAGUAUGUUCAGUGAAAGAAACCAGUCACAAAAGCACAUGUACUGUAUGUCUAUUUAUAUGAACUGCUUGGAGGAGGCACCUAGUGGUUGCCAGGGGCUUGGGGUGGGGGUGGAGGGCAGGAAUGGGGAAUGCCUGCCCCCUCCAUGGGGUUUCUUUGUGGGGUGAUUAAAAUGUUCUAAAAUUGGUAUGGUGAUGGUUGCAUGAGUCUGUGAAUACACUAAAACCACUGAGUGGUACAC
This 1655-nucleotide long non-coding RNA is filed under the name Homo sapiens (human). RNAcentral's name for it is "HSALNT0265466". The record is from RNAcentral. Lineage: Eukaryota; Metazoa; Chordata; Mammalia; Primates; Hominidae.